UAGGGAAUCUUCCGCAAUGGGCGAAAGCCUGACGGAGCAACGCCGCGUGAGUGAUGAAGGUCUUCGGAUCGUAAAACUCUGUUAUUAGGGAAGAACAAAUGUGUAAGUAACUAUGCACGUCUUGACGGUACCUAAUCAGAAAGCCACGGCUAACUACGUGCCAGCAGCCGCGGUAAUACGUAGGUGGCAAGCGUUAUCCGGAAUUAUUGGGCGUAAAGCGCGCGUAGGCGGUUUUUUAAGUCUGAUGUGAAAGCCCACGGCUCAACCGUGGAGGGUCAUUGGAAACUGGAAAACUUGAGUGCAGAAGAGGAAAGUGGAAUUCCAUGUGUAGCGGUGAAAUGCGCAGAGAUAUGGAGGAACACCAGUGGCGAAGGCGACUUUCUGGUCUGUAACUGACGCUGGUGUGCGAACGCGUGGGGAUCAAACAGG
This 429-nucleotide ribosomal RNA is filed under the name Actinomycetes bacterium. RNAcentral's name for it is "Actinobacteria bacterium partial 16S ribosomal RNA". It matches the Rfam family "Bacterial small subunit ribosomal RNA", at positions 355 to 776 of the family's 1533-position model. Lineage: Bacteria; Bacillati; Actinomycetota; Actinomycetes. The record is from RNAcentral.